GCUGUAGCUUGGUGAUAAGAGCAUCUGCUUUGCAUGCAGAAGGUCCCAGGUUCAAAACCCCGGCAUCUCCU
Molecule: non-coding RNA, 71 nt
Organism: Podarcis lilfordi (Lilford's wall lizard)
Lineage: Eukaryota; Metazoa; Chordata; Lepidosauria; Squamata; Lacertidae
Source: the annotation of a GenBank genome assembly